Molecule: ribosomal RNA, 464 nt
Filed under: uncultured bacterium
Lineage: Bacteria
Description: partial 16S ribosomal RNA
Rfam family: Bacterial small subunit ribosomal RNA
Source: RNAcentral
CUACGGGCGGCAGCAGUGGGGAAUAUUGCACAAUGGGCGCAAGCCUGAUGCAGCCAUGCCGCGUGUAUGAAGAAGGCCUUCGGGUUGUAAAGUACUUUCAGCGGGGAGGAAGGGAGUAAAGUUAAUACCUUUGCUCAUUGACGUUACCCGCAGAAGAAGCACCGGCUAACUCCGUGCCAGCAGCCGCGGUAAUACGGAGGGUGCAAGCGUUAAUCGGAAUUACUGGGCGUAAAGCGCACGCAGGCGGUUUGUUAAGUCAGAUGUGAAAUCCCCGGGCUCAACCUGGGAACUGCAUCUGAGAGUGGCAAGCUUGAGUCUCGUAGAGGGGGGUAGAAUUCCAGGUGUAGCGGUGAAAUGCGUAGAGAUCUGGAGGAAUACCGGUGGCGAAGGCGGCCCCCUGGACGAAGACUGACGCUCAGGUGCGAAAGCGUGGGGAGCAAACAGGAUUAGAUACCCCGGUAGUC